GUAGUCUCGCACAGAUGCAUAUCAAUAAGCGGAGGAAAAGAAACUAACAAGGAUUCCCCUAGUAACGGCGAGUGAAGCGGGAAGAGCUCAAAUUUGAAAUCUUAAAGGGUUUCCCUUUACGAAUUGUAGUUUAAAGAAGUGUUUUCUGUUGAGGUUUUGGUAAAAGUUCUUUGGAAUAGGACAUCAUAGAGGGUGAGAAUCCCGUAUUUGACCUUUACUUUCAACUUUGUGAUACACUUUCAAAGAGUCGGAUUGUUUGGGAAUGCAGUCCAAAAUGGGUGGCUAAAUUUCAUCUAAAGCUAAAUAUUGGCGAGAGACCGAUAGCGAACAAGUACCGUGAGGGAAAGAUGAAAAGAACUUUGAAAAGAGAGUUAAACAGUACGUGAAAUUGUCAAAAGGGAAGCGUUUGACACCAGUGUUGUUUUUCUGAAAAUCAAUUAAAGAACUGUUUAUGCUAAGUUGUUUAGACUUUAUCAGCUAUCUGUUUAGUUUUGAGCUUUUCUUUAAUGCACUUUUCAGUUAACAAGUCAACAUCAAUUUCUUUUGCUGUAAAAAAGCUUGAGGAAGGUGGCUUGAGAUUCGUCUUAAGUGUUUAUAGCCUCUUGCCUAUGCAGUCGGAGAGAUUGAGGUCUGCAGCGUAGAUCCUUCGGGGCUAAAUGCAUUUGUGCUAAGUUAUAGCAUUUCAUAGACAACUUGUUGACUAUGAUUUGUCUUGUAGCUUACUCGCUUAUGUUAUUUUACCUACGCUUAGGAUGUUGACAGCAGUAUAGACUGU
This 775-nucleotide ribosomal RNA is filed under the name uncultured Neocallimastigales. RNAcentral's name for it is "partial large subunit ribosomal RNA". It matches the Rfam family "Eukaryotic large subunit ribosomal RNA", at positions 24 to 629 of the family's 3401-position model. Lineage: Eukaryota; Fungi; Neocallimastigomycota; Neocallimastigomycetes; Neocallimastigales. The record is from RNAcentral.